Molecule: long non-coding RNA, 512 nt
Organism: Limulus polyphemus (Atlantic horseshoe crab)
Lineage: Eukaryota; Metazoa; Arthropoda; Merostomata; Xiphosura; Limulidae
Exons: 3
Source: RefSeq, a predicted model, not a curated record
AAUACCUUAUGGAAUUUUGGUGUGCUAGUUGCUAAAAGAAAACAGGCAUGGUUAAAGAAAAAACUACUGAAUUAAUUUUUUUUUCUAAAUGUAAGAGUUAUAAAGAAAGACUCAAAGACUUGGGAUUGUUUUUACUGUGGUUAGAAAACCUAGAGGCGGAUAUUCUGCUGCCAUUUUUAGGGAAGCCUUGAGAAAAAUAUUUCCAUGGCGAUAGUGACCAGGAUUCGAUCCUGGGGUUUCUCCAUGGAAAGGCUGGUGUGACAAAUAUAGGGGAAUAUGAGAACAUGGCUGUGUCUCCAGUUUUCUUCCUGCUUAUAUCUGACAUUUUAUCUUCUUUAAUGUCAAUUGAAAAAUAAAUAUUAGUAACUAAUUAAUAAUUAGACUUAGAUGUUCGUACUGGUUACUUAUGAUGGCAACAAUUGAGAUCUAACUGCCACAACCUAAAAUAAUGGAAUAUGAGCUGCAUAUACAUAUUUGUAACUUUGUAAUAUAAAACAAGAGGGAAUCCUCAA